AUUUGACGUUACCUACAGAAGAAGCACCGGCUAACUCCGUGCCAGCAGCCGCGGUAAUACGGAGGGUGCGAGCGUUAAUCGGAAUUACUGGGCGUAAAGCGCAUGCAGGCGGCCUGUUAAGUCAGAUGUGAAAGCCCGGGGCUUAACCUCGGAAUUGCAUUUGAAACUGGCAGGCUAGAGUCUUGUAGAGGGGGGUAGGAAUUUCAGGUGUAGCGGUGAAAUGCGUAGAGAUCUGAAGGAAUACCAGUGGCGAAGGCGGCCCCCUGGACAAAGACUGACGCUCAGAUGCGAAAGCGUGGGGAGCAAACAGGAUUAGAUACCCUGGUAG
This 328-nucleotide ribosomal RNA is filed under the name uncultured bacterium. RNAcentral's name for it is "bacterial SSU rRNA". It matches the Rfam family "Bacterial small subunit ribosomal RNA", at positions 467 to 793 of the family's 1533-position model. The record is from RNAcentral.